RNAcentral lists this ribosomal RNA (681 nucleotides) under Triticum aestivum (bread wheat). Its description in RNAcentral is "partial small subunit ribosomal RNA". Lineage: Eukaryota; Viridiplantae; Streptophyta; Magnoliopsida; Poales; Poaceae. The record is from RNAcentral.
AUGCGAAGGCGAAAGUCACGGGGCGAUUCACACUGGUGCUUUGACAUCAGGAAGCCUUAUCUGGAGGGAUCGGAGCAUCUGAAAGAUGAUUGUCUUACCAUCAGGUGCGAUGUCACCGUCAUGAAGGAGAUCCAUGGCGAAGAAGCAAGGGUUCCUCCAAGCGACCUGCAGCAGCAUCUUGGCGACCUACUCAAGAACCAGGACGCAGCAGACCUAACCUUUCAAGCCGAGCUCCUCGGCGCCAUGGAGGAGAGUUCCUCUGGUCAUAUGGAAAUCUGUGACAUGGAAGCUGAUGUUUUCAAGUCCUUGCUCCAUUUCAUUUACACCGACUCGGUUCCUCCAGUGCUUGAUGUGGUGAUGGCCGGCCAUCUGCUCGUGGCGGCUGACAGGUACAACAUCGGCAGGCUGAGGCAGAUCUGUGAGGAAAAAUUGUGCAAUAACAUUGCUGCCAACAUGGUGGCAACCAGCUUGGCUUUAGCGGAGCAGCAUGUUUUCCAUGAUCUCAAAGAAGCUUGCUUCCAGUUCCUUGCUUCUCCGUCCAAUUUGGAGGCGAUGAUGGCAAGCGAAGGUUAUGAGCAUCUCAAGUCCAGCUGCCCAUCUGUUCUCAAGGAGCUAAUAGCUAGAAUCCUCCCGGCUGAAUGGAACGCGGCUAAGGAUAUUGUCAUGACAAUGUGGAAGUAA